AUGGUAGGGCCCAGGGGAACGCCUGUAAGAGAAACACAGAAAGAUCGAGCAGAGACGGCGUACCCUCCAGUGAGCCCGGGAACGCUGAGGGGCUCGCAGAGUACCUGUGAACAAGCUGCACCCCACAGUCCGGGUCCAGUGCUGUCUCAUCUCCAGGGCGGCUCGCUCGCUGCUCCCGUCUCUGGACCGUCGCCAUGGAUACCUUCCUGAGUCUAUUCCCAACCUCCCCUGAGAAACAGUGGAUCCCCCAGUAAGAACCAGUCCCUCUGGAGUUGCCAACAGGCAGAGGCAGAGAAGCUACCAGAACUCGCUCAUUCUGAAGGGUUUGCCAAGCACAUUCACGCACAGAGUACAGCAAUAGGUCAGUGAGAGAAGCCCGAGACCCCCCACCGGAUUUCUCAGACCUGAACAAUUGAUUUGCAUAUAUAUCCGAGGCCAUAUCCUUUCUUAUCCCCUCCUUUGAGUCCAUCUUCAUCUGCAACCUGGACCUUGUAGGGUCUUCUCCACCACGCUGUGUGCUCCUAGAGCUGAUUUCUCCUUGUCCAGCACAGGCGUGUAUAUCUCCGUUCUUGCAUUUUCAUGGCCUUAUAGCAUGGGGUGUGAUGUGGGGGCCUAAUGUCUAUCCCUGGUUUCCAUGGUUUGUAUCUUUGGUAGUAGAUUGCUCCAGUUGUUAUCUUCUAGUGAUCCAAAUUCUGCAAAGAACCAAACAUUUGCUUUCUGCUGCUUCUAAAGUUAGAAUGAAA
Molecule: long non-coding RNA, 743 nt
Filed under: Chinchilla lanigera (long-tailed chinchilla)
Lineage: Eukaryota; Metazoa; Chordata; Mammalia; Rodentia; Chinchillidae
Description: lncRNA (ENSCLAG00000029045.1)
Source: RNAcentral